Molecule: ribosomal RNA, 459 nt
Filed under: uncultured bacterium
Lineage: Bacteria
Description: bacterial SSU rRNA
Rfam family: Bacterial small subunit ribosomal RNA
Source: RNAcentral
AGAGUUUGAUCAUGGCUCAGAACGAACGCUGGCGGCAGGCCUAACACAUGCAAGUCGAGCGAGGACUUCGGUCCUAGCGGCGGACGGGUGAGUAACGCGUGGGAACGUGCCCCUUUCUACGGAAUAGUCCCGGGAAACUGGGUUUAAUACCGUAUACGCCCUUCGGGGGAAAGAUUUAUCGGAGAGGGAUCGGCCCGCGUUGGAUUAGGUAGUUGGUGGGGUAAUGGCCUACCAAGCCGACGAUCCAUAGCUGGUUUGAGAGGAUGAUCAGCCACACUGGGACUGAGACACGGCCCAGACUCCUACGGGAGGCAGCAGUGGGGAAUCUUAGACAAUGGGGGAAACCCUGAUCUAGCCAUGCCGCGUGAGCGAUGAAGGCCUUAGGGUUGUAAAGCUCUUUCAGCUGGGAAGAUAAUGACGGUACCAGCAGAAGAAGCCCCGGCUAACUCCGUGCCAGCA